UCCAUGUGAUCAUACUUUCUAAAGAAUCUGUGAUUUUGAGCUAUCAGCUUGAUUAUCUUUAUCUUAAAAUGCUGGUUGACACUAAUCUCUUUUCGUUUAAGAUGGGUGCAAAGUCAACAACAUUAACUGGUCUAUCAGGAAUUGGCGAUAAAACUGAAAUACGAGCAAGUUUAAGCAAUCAAACAAGAUUAACAAAUGAUAUAAUGUGGUUCUAUUGCUUCUAGAUGUCUAUAAUUGUGGAAAAAACACACUUGCUAUAUUUGCUUUCUAAGAUAAGCAGUCGCCAAACAAUCACUUUAAUCUUACUUUACUAACAAAAUUGUAGAAGUGAGUAGGGAAAGCCUAACUAGAGAUAAGAGAGACACACCAUAUGUAUGAGCAGAGCUUAAAUAGUUUGAGCAUGAGGGUAUUCUAUGUUUUUUCUGAGUUUUCUUCAUCACUUCUCAUCUACUCUUUUUUCUUUUGGAAGUAGCGCCAUCAUUAUCAAUUGGGAUGAAUAUAUUCUUGAUAGGUUCUUUGGGUGAAGUGGCAUUUUAUCGGUUCAUUAUAUGCAGUGCUGUAAUGCUGUUUUACUAUGUAUUUUUUUAUUAUCAAGCGACCUUUAUGUAAAUAGUUUGGGCAGAAAUGAUGCUUAUUAUGUACAAUACUAUGGUCCAGCAUAAGAUGGGAAUAUAUGUGAAUGAGUACCUGUUCUAAUAAUGAAGCUCUGUGCAGUUAAGAUUCAGCUAAUUAUUUGCUCUUUCCCGGUUCACUUAACACAUCUAUAUCAUGUUAAAACACUUUAUGAUACAGGCAAGCACCCGGUGGUAGAAACGACAAUCUAAAGUCUUGGUGGCUAGUAAAGAAAAUCAAUGGCAUCAAAAGGUAAUGUUAAUGGACGACG
This is a long non-coding RNA of Capsicum annuum, 883 nucleotides long. RefSeq lists it as uncharacterized. NCBI's taxonomy places the organism in Eukaryota, Viridiplantae, Streptophyta, Magnoliopsida, Solanales, Solanaceae. The record is from RefSeq and is a predicted model, not a curated record. The transcript has 2 exons.